Long non-coding RNA from Schistocerca nitens (vagrant locust), 932 nucleotides. RefSeq lists it as uncharacterized. The record is from RefSeq and is a predicted model, not a curated record. NCBI's taxonomy places the organism in Eukaryota, Metazoa, Arthropoda, Insecta, Orthoptera, Acrididae. The transcript is spliced from 8 exons.
UUGCAAAAGUAGUGAAAGAGAGGUUUAAUGUUGUAGCAACUUCUGUGCCUUGUGAGAGGGUCUUCUCAAAAACAGGACAUUUAAUAAAUGACAGAAGAACCCGCCUCAAGCCAUCGAAUAUAGAAAAACUAAUAUUUCUGAAUGCCAAUGGUACCUGUGAUUAGUGCUGAAAAUUCUGGAACCGUGUGAGGUUUCCUUCCAUGGAGGUAACUAGGCACUUUCAACACAAGCAAACAAGACCACACAACUGUAUGAUGCCUAGCAAAAUGUAAAAUAUGUAACUGGGCACAUUCAACACAAGCAAACAAGACCACACAACUGUAUGAUGCCUAGCAAAAUGUAAAAUAUGUAACUGGGCACUUUCAACACAAGCAAACAAGACCACACAACUGUAUGAUGCCUAGCAAAAUGUAAAAUAUGUAACUGGGCACUUUCAACACAAGCAAACAAGACCACACAACUGUAUGAUGCCUAGCAAAAUGUAAAAUAUGUAACUGGGCACUUUCAACACAAGCAAACAAGACCACACAACUGUAUGAUGCCUAGCAAAAUGUAAAAUAUAUACCUUUCACUUCCUGCAAGUAUUUCACUGUGGCAUAAAUAAAGGUGACAGAGGAACAGGUCAUACUGGGAGCAGUAGGUCUGUGACUUGGAUGGAGCACAGUUACUGAUUUGAUGCCAUUAAGGCACAAGGCUUUUUAAUGAUUAAAAUGGUGAGUGAAUGUAAGUACUGGAAGUGUUAUUUCUGUAUACUAAAACCUGCUGCUUUAAGUUAUGUUUCAGAAAUAUCUUGAGCACCUCGACUUGAAAAAUAACAGGAAUACCAUCUAGAAUAUUACAAGUGAGGACAGUCAGUCAAUGAUAAUCCAUGAGCUUAGGCUGAAGGAAAAAAAUUCUAUACAUGUAAUAAAAGUUGAUUGUAAUGUGUGAUG